UAGACAUUCAAAGCUCACAAUGUCCUGUAC
RNAcentral lists this non-coding RNA (30 nucleotides) under Mus musculus (house mouse). The record is from RNAcentral. Lineage: Eukaryota; Metazoa; Chordata; Mammalia; Rodentia; Muridae.